GACGAACGCUGGCGGCGUGCCUAAUACAUGCAAGUUGAGCGCUGAAGGUUGGUACUUGUACCCACUGGAUGAGCAGCGUACGGGUGAGUAACGCGUGGGGAAUCUGCCUUUGAGCGGGGGACAACAUUUGGAAACGAAUGCUAAUACCGCAUAAAAACUUUAAACACAAGUUUUAAGUUUGAAAGAUGCAAUUGCAUCACUCAAAGAUGAUCCCGCGUUGUAUUAGCUAGUUGGUGAGGUAAAGGCUCACCAAGGCGAUGAUACAUAGCCGACCUGAGAGGGUGAUCGGCCAAAUUGGGACUGAGACACGGCCCAAACUACUACGGGAGGCAGCAGUAGGGAAUCUUCGGCAAUGGACGAAAGUCUGACCGAGCAACGCCGCGUGAGUGAAGAAGGUUUUCGGAUCGUAAAACUCUGUUGGUAGAGAAGAACGUUGGUGAGAGUGGAAAGCUCAUCAAGUGACGGUAACUACCCAGAAAGGGACGGCUAACUACGUG
This 497-nucleotide ribosomal RNA is filed under the name uncultured bacterium. RNAcentral's name for it is "partial 16S ribosomal RNA". It matches the Rfam family "Bacterial small subunit ribosomal RNA", at positions 28 to 507 of the family's 1533-position model. The record is from RNAcentral.